This 460-nucleotide ribosomal RNA is filed under the name uncultured bacterium. RNAcentral's name for it is "partial 16S ribosomal RNA". It matches the Rfam family "Bacterial small subunit ribosomal RNA", at positions 338 to 795 of the family's 1533-position model. The record is from RNAcentral.
CCUACGGGAGGCAGCAGUGAGGAAUAUUGGUCAAUGGGCGGAAGCCUGAACCAGCCAAGUAGCGUGCAGGAUGACGGCCCUACGGGUUGUAAACUGCUUUUAUACGGGAAUAACGCGCAUUAAGUGUAGGGCUUUGCAUGUACCGUAUGAAUAAGGACCGGCUAAUUCCGUGCCAGCAGCCGCGGUAAUACGGAAGGUACGGGCGUUAUCCGGAUUUAUUGGGUUUAAAGGGAGCGUAGGCCGCAUGUCAAGCGUGCUGUGAAAUGUCCGGGCUCAACCCGGGCCUUGCAGCGCGAACUGGCGUGCUUGAGUCCGCGGAAAGCAGGCGGAAUUCGUCGUGUAGCGGUGAAAUGCUUAGAUAUGGCGAAGAACCCCGAUUGCGAAGGCAGGUUGCUGCAGCGGAACUGACGCUGAUGCUCGAAAGCGCGGGUAUCGAACAGGAUUAGAUACCCUAGUAGUC